CAAUAGCGUAUAUUAAAGUUGUUGCAGUUAAAAAGCUCGUAGUUGGAUUUGUGGCGUACGGUGUGUUCCGGGCACUUGUUGUCUGAGUAACCUGCUGUUGCCAUCCUUGGGUGGAACCUGUGUGGCAUUAGGUUGUCGUGCAGGGGAUGCCCAUCAUUUACUGUGAAAAAAUUAGAGUGUUCAAAGCAGGCUUAUGCCGUUGAAUAUAUUAGCAUGGAAUAAUGAGAUAGGACCUUGGUACUAUUUUGUUGGUUUGCGCACCGAGGUAAUGAUUAAUAGGGACAGUUGGGGGUAUUCGUAUUCCAUUGUCAGAGGUGAAAUUCUUGGAUUUUUGGAAGACGAACUACUGCGAAAGCAUUUACCAAGGAUGUUUUCAUUAA
This 380-nucleotide ribosomal RNA is filed under the name uncultured eukaryote. Its description in RNAcentral is "partial 18S ribosomal RNA". It matches the Rfam family "Eukaryotic small subunit ribosomal RNA", at positions 592 to 976 of the family's 1831-position model. The record is from RNAcentral.